RNAcentral lists this ribosomal RNA (768 nucleotides) under uncultured bacterium. RNAcentral describes it as "bacterial SSU rRNA". It matches the Rfam family "Bacterial small subunit ribosomal RNA", at positions 28 to 776 of the family's 1533-position model. The record is from RNAcentral.
GACGAACGCUGGCGGCGUGCCUAAUACAUGCAAGUCGAGCGAAGUUUUUCUAGUGCUUGCACCGGAAAAACUUAGCGGCGAACGGGUGAGUAACACGUAAAGAACCUGCCUCAUAGACUGGGACAACUAUUGGAAACGAUAGCUAAUACCGGAUAACAGCAUUAACUGCAUGGUUGAUGUUUAAAAGUUGGUUUUGCUAACACUAUGAGAUGGCUUUGCGGUGCAUUAGCUAGUUGGUGGGGUAAAGGCCUACCAAGGCGACGAUGCAUAGCCGACCUGAGAGGGUGAUCGGCCACACUGGGACUGAGACACGGCCCAGACUCCUACGGGAGGCAGCAGUAGGGAAUCUUCCGCAAUGGGCGAAAGCCUGACGGAGCAACGCCGCGUGAGUGAAGAAGGAUUUCGGUUCGUAAAGCUCUGUUGUUAGGGAAGAAUGAUUGUGUAGUAACUAUACACAGUAGAGACGGUGCCUAACCAGAAAGCCACGGCUAACUACGUGCCAGCAGCCGCGGUAAUACGUAGGUGGCAAGCGUUGUCCGGAAUUAUUGGGCGUAAAGCGCGCGCAGGUGGUUUAAUAAGUCUGAUGUGAAAGCCCACGGCUCAACCGUGGAGGGUCAUUGGAAACUGUUAAACUUGAGUGCAGGAGAGAAAAGUGGAAUUCCUAGUGUAGCGGUGAAAUGCGUAGAGAUUAGGAGGAACACCAGUGGCGAAGGCGGCUUUUUGGCCUGUAACUGACACUGAGGCGCGAAAGCGUGGGGAGCAAACAGG